Molecule: long non-coding RNA, 179 nt
Organism: Chinchilla lanigera (long-tailed chinchilla)
Lineage: Eukaryota; Metazoa; Chordata; Mammalia; Rodentia; Chinchillidae
Exons: 3
Source: RefSeq, a predicted model, not a curated record
CAAAGCUCACCCAAGUGAGAGGCCAUGUUGGCUACAGCUGGGAGAAGACUUUGCAAAGAAAUAUGUUGCUGCUGCUUUUAUCUUGUGCUUCUCAGCCUACAAAAUGCUCACCAAUUCCUGAUACAGCACAACCACCAGGAACUCCUCCCAAAUGUUCUCAAAGAAUAUACUGUGUUUUC